GCUAAGGCCCCUAAAUGAUUACUAAGUGAUAAAGGAUGUGGGAAUGCUGAGACAAUCAGGAGGUUCGCCUAGAAGCAGCUAUCCUUUAAAGAGUGCGUAAUAGCUCACUGAUCAAGUGCACCUGCGCCGAAAAUGAACGGGGCUAAGUAAUCUGCCGAAGCUGUGGGAUUUAUUAUAAUCGGUAGGGGAGCGUUCCACAUUAGAUAGAAGCAUUAGCGUAAGCGGGUGUGGACGACGUGGAAGUGAGAAUGUCGGCUUGAGUAGCGAAAACAUUGGUGAGAAUCCAAUGCCCCGAAAACCUAAGGGUUCCUCCGGAAGGCUCGUCCACGGAGGGUGAGUCAGGGCCUAAGGUGAGGCCGAAAGGCGUAGCUGAUGG
RNAcentral lists this ribosomal RNA (376 nucleotides) under Cryptomonas sp. SAG 979-8. RNAcentral's name for it is "bacterial LSU rRNA". It matches the Rfam family "Bacterial large subunit ribosomal RNA", at positions 1038 to 1421 of the family's 2925-position model. The record is from RNAcentral. Lineage: Eukaryota; Cryptophyceae; Cryptomonadales; Cryptomonadaceae.